RNAcentral lists this long non-coding RNA (235 nucleotides) under Erythranthe guttata (spotted monkey flower). RNAcentral describes it as "long non-coding RNA (EGUT_LNC003877)". The record is from RNAcentral. Lineage: Eukaryota; Viridiplantae; Streptophyta; Magnoliopsida; Lamiales; Phrymaceae.
UUUUAGAGUGUUUGGAUAAUGGGCUUAUUUCCUAUUUUUACUCAUUAAAAGAUCUUAAAUAAAAAGGUGGGGUAGAGGUACUUAUUUAAAAAGAUCUUAUUUGCUCUCCAACAGCUUAUUUAAAAAAAAAUUAAGAUCUUUUUCUAAAAAUUUACCAAACACUUUGGAAGAGCUUAUAAGCUCUAAAACAUCUUAUAAGCUCCUUUUAACAUCUUAUAAGCUUAGCCAAACACCC